This is a long non-coding RNA of Tupaia belangeri chinensis (Chinese tree shrew), 2472 nucleotides long. RefSeq lists it as uncharacterized. The record is from RefSeq and is a predicted model, not a curated record. The transcript has 2 exons. Lineage: Eukaryota; Metazoa; Chordata; Mammalia; Scandentia; Tupaiidae.
GCCACCAGGUCCAGGACUUGAACCACAGUCGACCAUCUGGGAGUUCAGUGACAUAACCACUACUCCAUUCGCUGGCCCCUUUUCUAGUCUUAAAAAAGCUCUAUGCAACAGUUUUGUGAAAAACAGAAUCGCAGUUUUGAUACAUACCUGUGAUUUCUCUCUCUCUCUCUCUUUAAUUUGCCAGAGGGUGUGUGUGCUCACCUGAAAGAGAAAGAGAGAGUGAGGGAGACAGAAAGCACCUCGCAGGGGAUGAUCAUCCCACAAGCCCGUCUCUAUCUCUCCCUCCUUUUGGGAUUCUGAGCACACACGUGCACACGCGUGUUGUUCAAGUAGCUGGGUCUGGUAUUGGACUCAGCCAUCAGCCUUGUGGGGUUAUUUUUCAUUCAUGGAUGUCUCCUUCAUUGUCACAAGAGUGUCCCAAGUGCAGUGAAGAACGUCGGUGGCUGUGCAUCCCAGAGAGCUGUUUCUCUGUAAGUCCCAGAGCCCUUUGCGACCGGCCAUGACUUCAAGGUGUUGGGCCAUCCUGCCUCUGCCCUUGUCACCUCCUCAGUCGCCAGGGCCUGAUCCCAGCAGGGGAUAGUGGCUCUUGGACAUGCGAGACCCAGCAGGACACAAGGGCUGUGUCAGAGGACCUGGGUGUCAGGCCGCACACUCUCUCACGGGGACUGGGGAGCCCUGGACCUCCAAGCCUUGAUUCCAUUCCUUUUCUUUGAAAUGGGAUGACAACAACCAGACGCGCCUCACGUGGAGCUGGGCCUGAGGCUGAGUUGCCCCGUGUUGUCUGCACUGUGGUUUAUUGGAUUCAUGAGGACUCUUCAGAUGUCAGCAACAGGAAAUCCAGCUCAACAGCAGUUUAGCCAUAAAGGGAAUUUAUUGGCUCGUAGAAGUGAAAAGUCCAGGUGCAAAGGCCCAGUGGAACCAGUACCUGAAGGACAUGACCUCAGGCCUGGGCAAGCUCCCUCCCACACACCCACUCCUCCCUGGCCAUGGGUGAGUGCGGAGUCUCCCCAGAGCCACCUGACCCUGACACCAAGAGGGCCCCUGCUCUGGCAGCCCGGGAGUGAGCACGCUGUCCUAGCUGCUCCCGGGGACCAGGCGGGGCUGGCCCAUGCCAUCUGCCCCGGGGCCACCAGCCCACCAGACUCAGAAACAGAGGGUAGGAAGGGUGGUGCCCCCAAGGAGGAGGGGAUUUCUCCAGAACAGGGACAGUCUGGGAAGGGCAAAGAGUAGGCAUCCUCCUCAGAGCCCAGUGUGUCUCCGGCUGGGCUACUGGGACGUCCCCGGGGAGGUGAGCCUGGGAGCCACUGCAAGAGCGGGGCUCCGUCCUGCGGCAGGACCCUCCUGGCGCUGUCACAGGUCCUCUCGGCCAGCUGGCAGCAAAGCCCUGAGCGUUCUCUUCCUGAAUCCCUGCAGUGGGGCCACACCCCCGGUGCCCUCACCGUGGCCAUGAGCAGGGAGGAGGCCUGGCUUCGGUGACCUCACAGGUGACUCAGUGCGCCGUAUACUACCUGGGUUAUGUGAAGGGCCCCACAGAGCUUUUACAGCUGAGAAAGCAGGCUGAUGUCCCCGAGAGCCAGACCAGGACGGGGGGUGAGCGGAGUGGGAGGGACGGGGCAGGCAGGGUAACAGGACAGGGGUCAGCCACAGUGCAGGGGCUAGGGGAGCUGCCCAUGCCAGUGCCCUGGCACUAGCUUUGUUUGGUUGGGAAAUUCGUUAUGCAGGAAGGGUGCCCCACCAGCCCCUGGCCGCUGAGAGGUGGGAGAGGCCAGCCCUGGACAGAUCUGUCCACCAUCUCCAGGGGUGACAUCCUGCUAUCUGCUCUGUUUGCACUUGGUCCCUGCCCUGAAGGCUCACAAGCCACCUGAUACGGGUCAGUCCAAACAGUACAGGGAGGGUGUGUGCCCGGCAAGGCAGGACGCGGGCCUCUUUUCCCCCAGGAGAGAGAGAUGGGGCUCAACACCAUUGGGAGCCGGGGACCUGCUGCUGAGGUGCAGGAGGGCAGAGCAACGUGUUUAAGCAAUGAGACACGCCAGGCUGUAUGGAAGACACAGAACGAACACAGAACCUGGUCUCCGAGCAGCUCACAGCUGAGUCGAAGAGUGACGGAGCAGUUCAGCAACCUCGAUACCAUCACCACCACCACCACGACAGCUGUCCCGCCCUGGCACUGCGCACCGGGCUCCAGCCGUGACACCUGCACAUACCCUACAGCCGCGCCAGGAGGUGCACGGUGGCUUCACCUCACAGACAAGGCACGGAGGGGCUGAGGGGCCACGCAUGCUGGCUGAGGUGACAGCUGACCAGGGGGCAGUCCACAUCUCUGUCUGACCGCAAGCUUGGCGCCCUGAGCCACCUUACGUGGUGUCUCAGCCGUGACUGCGAUGGUCACGAUGGGCGGGGACACACCACGGUGCAAGGGAAACGCCCCGAGCCGCAGUUCAUUCGCCUAUUAAACAAGGAUAAUGACCGGGA